UAACCUGCCCUUGACUCUGGGAUAAGCGUUGGAAACGACGUCUAAUACCGGAUAUGACUCCUGGCCGCAUGGUCUGGGGGUGGAAAGAUUUUUUGGUCAAGGAUGGACUCGCGGCCUAUCAGGUAGUUGGUGAGGUAAUGGCUCACCAAGCCGACGACGGGUAGCCGGCCUGAGAGGGUGACCGGCCACACUGGGACUGAGACACGGCCCAGACUCCUACGGGAGGCAGCAGUGGGGAAUAUUGCACAAUGGGCGAAAGCCUGAUGCAGCAACGCCGCGUGAGGGAUGACGGCCUUCGGGUUGUAAACCUCUUUUAGUAGGGAAGAAGGGAGCUUGCUCUUGACGGUACCUGCAGAAAAAGCACCGGCUAACUACGUGCCAGCAGCCGCGGUAAUACGUAGGGUGCAAGCGUUGUCCGGAAUUAUUGGGCGUAAAGAGCUCGUAGGCGGUUUGUCGCGUCUGCUGUGAAAUCUGGGGGCUCAACCCCCAGCCUGCAGUGGGUACGGGCAGACUAGAGUGCGGUAGGGGAGAUUGGAAUUCCUGGUGUAGCGGUGGAAUGCGCAGAUAUCAGGAGGAACACCGAUGGCGAAGGCAGAUCUCUGGGCCGUAACUGACGCUGAGGAGCGAAAGCAUGGGGAGCGAACAGGAUUAGAUACCCUGGUAGUCCAUGCCGUAAACGUUGGGAACUAGAUGUAGGGGCCAUUCCACGGUUUCUGUGUCGCAGCUAACGCAUUAAGUUCCCCGCCUGGGGAGUACGGCCGC
This 762-nucleotide ribosomal RNA is filed under the name Actinobacteridae bacterium 14-08PB. Its description in RNAcentral is "bacterial SSU rRNA". It matches the Rfam family "Bacterial small subunit ribosomal RNA", at positions 122 to 889 of the family's 1533-position model. Lineage: Bacteria; Bacillati; Actinomycetota; Actinomycetes. The record is from RNAcentral.